This 165-nucleotide small nuclear RNA is filed under the name Dasypus novemcinctus (nine-banded armadillo). RNAcentral describes it as "U1 spliceosomal RNA (ENSDNOG00000036564.1)". It matches the Rfam family "U1 spliceosomal RNA". From Rfam's summary of the family: U1 is a small nuclear RNA (snRNA) component of the spliceosome (involved in pre-mRNA splicing). Its 5' end forms complementary base pairs with the 5' splice junction, thus defining the 5' donor site of an intron. The record is from RNAcentral. Lineage: Eukaryota; Metazoa; Chordata; Mammalia; Cingulata; Dasypodidae.
AUAUGUACCUGCACAGUGUAUGCACCAUGCUCACGAAGGUGGCUUUCCCAGGGUGAGGCCAAGUCAUUGCACUGGGGAUCUGCUGACCCCUGCGGGUUCCCCACAUGGGGGAAAUUCGACUGUGUAAUUUGUGUUGGUAGGGGAUUGCAUCCACACUUUCCCCCC